Molecule: non-coding RNA, 29 nt
Filed under: Mus musculus (house mouse)
Lineage: Eukaryota; Metazoa; Chordata; Mammalia; Rodentia; Muridae
Source: RNAcentral
UUNGAGCUGCCUCUGGUAUCUGUUGACCC